Molecule: ribosomal RNA, 2391 nt
Filed under: Triticum aestivum (bread wheat)
Lineage: Eukaryota; Viridiplantae; Streptophyta; Magnoliopsida; Poales; Poaceae
Description: partial small subunit ribosomal RNA
Source: RNAcentral
AUGGUCCGGCUACAUGCACACGUUUAUGCACAUGCUGAUGAUUACCAGGCGAUCCCUGAACUGAAAGCAGGGGCGAAGGCAGGGCGGUUGGAGGAAACCCUAGCCGGGGCUGCCCGCACCUUCUCCCUGCCUUCAUCUCCCCUCGCCACUGCCGGAGGGCACCGCCGGGCGAAGCCCAACUGGCAGCAGGGCCUCUUAUCCCUCCUCCCCUGUUGGCUACGGCACGGGGACAUGUUGAGCGGGUGGGGAGCGCGGCAUUCUCGCAGGGCAUUGCGACGGUGUCUCGGACAGCCGGGCCUUGGACGCGGCAGUGCGUGGAAGCGGCGGCGGCGGCUGCGUGGCACAGGUGGCGGGGCAGGCCGACGCAGCAUGAUGGCGGGUGCCAGUUUCGUUAGAUCUGGCGCUUGGAGUCGUAGGCUGUGGGCAGCGAGGGCCGCUGUCCUCCGUCAUGGCUACAAUGGUGUCGGCAUGGUGGACGCAGCGGAAGACCCGCACACCCCGCCGCUUGCCGCUCCGGCACCGGCGACCACGCUAGCCGUCGCCCUCCGCUUGGGAGGUGGCGCCACCAAACCGUCGCUGUCGGCCCCGGUCGCGACGGGCACCCCAGCUGAGGUGUGCACGGUCGUGUCGCAGGAGUGUUUGACCCGUUCCGACCGCCACUUGUUUCUCGUAGCCGCCGGCUGGUAUCUCUCCUUCCUCAAGUUUCUCGUUGCCUUUUUUCUUGUUGUUGUUGCCCCCCUGCUCCGUCUGCAUGUUGUCGCUCUGUUGCUUGCUCUGAUUGUUGCUCGGGUGGAUCAUGCACACCCCAUGGAGGGCUUGCGCUUCCAGGAUGCUAUGCUGGCAAGGUAUGGUUGCGACACCGUUGAGGCCGUUGCUGGUCGGUGCAGACCAGCCGGAGUGCUCGCUGUAGUGCUGAACGAUGGUGUCUUCCUCUCGCCGGAGUUCUUUGCUUCUCUCCUGGUCAGCUGGUUCGGUGGCUUCGCCAACGGCUAUCCUGUCCGGGCCCAACGGUCUGGUUGUUUCUUUUUUCAGGUCGCGCAUGCGUGUAUCGCCAAAGAGAUCAUGCUCCGCGAUUCUUGGAGGUACGGUUUGCUCCGUGUCAAGAUGUUGCUUUCUGACUUGGACCCUGGUUGCAUCCCCCUGAUUGAUCCUCGGACGAUUGCGCGAGGCCCGGACUUGGCUGCCAACUCCAAGCUGCCAUCGCUGCUUGGACCUGCUUCGGGGUUGGGUCACGUCGCUGAUCGGGUGCAAUCAAUUGAUAUCCUGCCACAGGCGGCCCGUGCCCAGGUUUUCGGGGGGUCUGGCACGGAUCUGCAUGCCUUGGGGGCCGAGCGGGCGUUUGACCUCCCCGUGCGUGAUCAAGUGUCUGGCCUUAAUCCAUCGCGUUUACCGAUGUCGCCGCCCGCUGGCCAAUCAUCCCCGUCGCCCCUUCCCGUCGCUCCUAUGGAGCCUGUGGUUUGCGGCCGCCCCACCUCGCUCGACGUCCACUACCCCAUGGUUCCCGACCAAACCACUCUUGUCUGCCUUGUCAACAUCUCCCCGCCCCGGCCCAGCUUUCGCCCCUGGCUCUGGAGGGCUAGCCCACUGUAUGUUGGCUCCCGCAUCGUGCGUAUCCUACCGCACAAUGCGGGGGACAAUGCCUUCUCCUUGUCCUUCAAGCAUGUCGUCAACCUCGCGCUGGAGAAGCUUCCCUUGGAGCUCUGGAACAGGCCGAGCGUCGCUGCAUCCAUCGCUGGCUUCACCAGCAUCUUGCGGGUGGAGCACGCCUGCCUUUACAGCAGCGAGUUCUCGAGCAUCUUCGUGUUGGUCAAGGUUCAAACUCUCCAGCACAUUCCACAUCACCUCGCUUUCCUCCGGGUGGAUGGAGCUGGUGCGUACGCCGACAUCCUUAUUAAUGAAGUCUGGGACAUGGCACGCUCCCUCGAUGCUCCCUCCGCGACGUCGCAACCCCCGCUUGGAUCGUUUGGCAGCGAAGACGACUGCUCAGGCUUUGGAGGAAGUGGUGCCUUGCCGCACACGCUUCUGCGCCAAGGCCGCACGCGUGCAUGGGGGGCCAGCUUUGCCGCUGGGUCGUCGACCGACGAGGACGGCAUGGCCACCUGUGCAUAUCGGGCCUUCCUCUACCCGCUCAUUGCCACCCCCGACGACCUCAUGGCCAUGCUGCAGCUCUCCGUCAAGCCCAAGUUCGUCAAGUGUGCCCCCUUCUACCUCCCCAUGGCCGAGCAGAUCGCGCACGAAGAUGAGUACCGGGAUUUCCUUCGCUCUGUUCUGCUUGCGGUGGAUGCUCCCAAGCCUCGCGUCAUCAUCUCCUUCGACCCCGAUUCCAUGGCGUUCUCCUUCAAGCUUGAGCUCAGCCAUUACCGUACUGCUGCUGGAGUCAUCCCAGUGUAG